CUGAACCAGCCAAGUAGCGUGAAGGAUGAAGGCUCUAUGGGUCGUAAACUUCUUUUAUAUGGGAAUAAAGUAUUCCACGUGUGGAAUUUUGUAUGUACCAUAUGAAUAAGGAUCGGCUAACUCCGUGCCAGCAGCCGCGGUAAUACGGAGGAUCCGAGCGUUAUCCGGAUUUAUUGGGUUUAAAGGGAGCGUAGGUGGAUUGUUAAGUCAGUUGUGAAAGUUUGCGG
This 227-nucleotide ribosomal RNA is filed under the name uncultured bacterium. Its description in RNAcentral is "partial 16S ribosomal RNA". It matches the Rfam family "Bacterial small subunit ribosomal RNA", at positions 383 to 607 of the family's 1533-position model. The record is from RNAcentral.